RNA transcript from Pan troglodytes (chimpanzee), 6776 nucleotides. It is a transcript of the gene named PAT1 homolog 1, processing body mRNA decay factor, with no coding region annotated. The record is from RefSeq and is a predicted model, not a curated record. The transcript has 18 exons. NCBI's taxonomy places the organism in Eukaryota, Metazoa, Chordata, Mammalia, Primates, Hominidae.
GGCCCGAAGACCCUGCUGCUGCGUGGCCAGCGGCCCACGGCCGUGCGGCCCUUCGAGGCUCUGCAGCUCCUCGCGCCUAAUGAGCCUGGCGCUUAAAAAUACCACCCUAGUUAAACCUCCCGGAACCUGUCUUCAGCAUUUCAAAAAAAAAAAAAAACGGGCGCCGUCAUCACUUUGAGCCACAUAAAUCACAGCCCUGACCUGCUGUGGAUUCAGCAGGCGACGAGCCGCUGAAAGGGGCGACGAAGUCCGCCCCUUUCGAAGACCAGCAACUUUCCAUUCUUUUUUCCCUGCGCAAGGCGCAGAUUGCAACGGGGAGACCCCCGAGCAGUCUGAGGAGCGAGUCGGACGUUGGAAAAACUGCCCGGGAAUCUCAUCUUUCCCAGCCCAGGCUAAGCGCAGGAUUCUUCAGAGCUAUAUCCUGUGACAAUCACAAGGGUUUUCUCCGCCCCACGGGUGACGGAGAACUCGUGACCGGCCCCUGAGCUCCAAGCCGAGCGUCUAGAGGGCGCGGAAAAAGAGGGGGCGGAGCUACAAGCCCAGAUCACCAGGCAGCCGGAGACGGGCAGCGCGUGCGCAGUCUCUCGCCACGGGACCUCCUUCCCGCCGCUGAGACUAGGAAGCGGGACGCCAAAUCUGUCCCUGCGCAGCCGCCGCCGGGCGCCGAGCGGGGUGGCCGCCCUGCCUGAGGCGCGCCUGCGCACGUCCCCACGCACGCUCCGGCGUACGGCGGCGGCCAGGGGUCGCGAGCCGGUGGAGGACCCGCGCGCGGAGGAGCCGGGGAGUCAGCGCUUCUUCCCUCCCUCCCCCUCUCCCCUCCCCGUUCCCUGCCCCCCUCCCCAAGAAUGUUCCGCUACGAGUCUUUGGAGGAUUGUCCUCUGGAUGAAGAUGAAGAUGCAUUUCAGGGACUGGGAGAAGAAGAUGAAGAGAUUGAUCAAUUCAAUGACGAUACAUUUGGGUCAGGCGCAGUUGAUGAUGAUUGGCAGGAAGCACAUGAGCGCCUGGCUGAAUUGGAAGAAAAGCUACCAGUGGCAGUUAAUGAACAAACAGGCAAUGGAGAGAGAGAUGAAAUGGACUUGUUGGGUGACCAUGAGGAGAAUCUGGCAGAAAGGCUCAGUAAGAUGGUGAUUGAAAAUGAACUAGAAGAUCCAGCUAUUAUGAGGGCAGUGCAGACCAGGCCAGUUUUACAAACCCAACCAGGAAGUCUGAAUUCCAGUAUCUGGGAUGGAUCUGAAGUUCUGAGGCGAAUCCGAGGACCACUGCUUGCUCAGGAAAUGCCUACAGUGUCUGUAUUAGAAUAUGCUUUGCCUCAGAGGCCCCCCCAGGGUCCAGAAGAUGAUCGGGACCUUUCUGAACGAGCAUUACCAAGGCGGUCAACUUCACCUAUCAUUGGCAGUCCUCCUGUUAGAGCUGUCCCCAUAGGCACCCCACCUAAACAGAUGGCUGUACCCAGCUUCACCCAACAGAUUCUGUGUCCGAAGCCUGUCCAUGUUCGGCCCCCAAUGCCACCUCGUUAUCCUGCUCCCUAUGGUGAGAGGAUGUCUCCAAACCAGCUCUGCAGUGUCCCGCUACAGCCUGGACGGAUGUCUCCCAGCCAGUUUGCACGGGUCCCUGGAUUUGUUGGUAGUCCACUUGCUGCCAUGAAUCCCAAGUUGCUACAAGGGCGAGUUGGGCAGAUGCUUCCCCCAGCACCAGGCUUCCGUGCCUUCUUUAGUGCUCCACCCUCUACUGCACCACCUCCACAGCAGCACCCUCCUGGCCCAGGACCCCACCUGCAAAACCUAAGAUCUCAGGCCCCGAUGUUUAGACCGGACACAACUCACCUUCAUCCACAGCACCGUCGACUCUUGCAUCAGAGACAGCAACAGAAUAGAAAUCAGCAUCGGAAUCUCAAUGGUGCGGGAGAUAGAGGAAGUCACCGGAGCAGUCAUCAAGAUCAUCUCCGAAAGGAUCCAUAUGCCAAUCUCAUGUUGCAGCGGGAAAAGGAUUGGGUCUCUAAAAUCCAGAUGAUGCAACUGCAAAGCACUGAUCCCUAUCUGGAUGAUUUUUAUUACCAGAAUUACUUUGAAAAACUGGAGAAACUGUCAGCUGCUGAAGAAAUACAAGGUGAUGGCCCUAAGAAGGAGCGCACCAAGCUUAUCACCCCUCAGGUGGCCAAACUGGAGCACGCCUAUAAGCCAGUGCAAUUUGAGGGCUCUUUGGGAAAGCUUACCGUUUCUAGUGUGAAUAAUCCCCGAAAAAUGAUUGAUGCUGUUGUGACAUCUCGGAGUGAGGAUGAUGAGACAAAAGAAAAACAAGUUCGCGACAAGAGGAGAAAAACCCUUGUUAUAAUUGAGAAAACCUACAGCUUACUCCUUGACGUGGAGGACUAUGAAAGACGUUAUCUCCUAAGUCUGGAAGAAGAGCGACCUGCCCUAAUGGAUGACAGAAAGCACAAAAUUUGUAGCAUGUAUGACAACUUAAGGGGGAAAUUGCCUGGACAAGAGAGGCCUAGUGAUGACCACUUUGUACAGAUCAUGUGUAUCCGAAAAGGGAAGAGAAUGGUUGCCCGUAUUCUUCCUUUCCUCUCCACAGAGCAAGCAGCUGACAUUCUCAUGACAACAGCCAGGAACCUCCCUUUCCUUAUCAAGAAGGAUGCACAAGAUGAGGUGCUGCCAUGCUUACUGAGUCCCUUCUCUCUCCUUCUCUAUCAUCUUCCAUCAGUGAGUAUCACCAGCCUUUUGCGACAGCUAAUGAACCUACCUCAAAGUGCAGCUACACCAGCACCCUCCAAUCCUCACCUCACUGCUGUGCUCCAGAACAAGGUGAUCUUGCCCUUUUAACUCCUUGAACUUUGUGAAGUGUCUUAAUUUGCGUUAUAGAUUAAAAUAAUGGCUGCUGUAUCUCUAGCAACUUGGGAAAAAGGCUUCUUUCAGUCAAGAGUUACAUUAAGCUCCUAGUAACAGGCUAGAAAUAACAGUGUUUUCAACAAAAUGGGAUUUUAUGUGUCUAGUGUGAAAUAAAUUUGAUUUAGUAGCUCGACAGAGUCAUCAGGGAUCCAGGCUUUUUCACUUUUUUUCCUCUGCCAUUCUUACCAGUGGCUUCCAUGUUCAUUAUUCCUCAUGGUCCAAGAUGGCUGUGGAAUUCAUGAUUCAGCUUUACGUCAAGAAGGACGGGUGGGUGUGGAGGGCAAAAAGAUGUGGACCAGCUGUCCAUCUUCCUUAUUGAGACCUUUUCCAGGAGUUCUAACCAGAAACUUCUACUUACUGUUAAUAGCCAGGACAUUGUCACAUGGCCACACCUAAGUGCAGGGAAGGCUGGAAAAUAUCUUUUAGUUUAUGCCAUUGUCAUGACACAUAAGAGUUCUGAUAAUGGGUAGGAAGGCAUAUUAGGCAAUUAGCAGUCUCUGUCAUAACACUAUGAAUAGUAGAAUCAUCCAUUUCAUAUUUUAUUUGCAUCAAGUUAAAGAUUCAGAGAUUCCUAGGGGAAACAUAAUAUGAAAUAAAGAAUAUGAAUUUUUAGUCCUUCCCUGCUACUGUCUAGCUUUGUGACCUUGGACAGAUGAUAUCACAUUGCUGAAUCAGUUUCCUGGUCUAUAAGAUGGAGGUGAUGAUGUAGACUUCAUAGAGUUGUCCUGGUACUUAAAUGAGAUAACAGUUGUGUUCGAUAUAAUGCCUGGUACAUAGUAGUUACUCAUUAAGGGCCAUUCUAUGUACAGUAGAGAUGAAAAAGUGGUCUCAAGGCCUCUUGCUCCCUUGCACCAGAAAACCUACCAAAGCAUGACACUAAAGGUCAGUAUAUCAGAGGAAGAAGAGGUGACAGUGCCUCUGGGGUUCUGGAGUGAUCCAGAAUGUGCCUUUCUGUUAUUUGGUCUCUUAGUUUUAAUUUUAGUAAAGGCAGUAGUAUUUUUUUUCUGAGAAUAACAUGAAAAGGGAUUUUUUUUUUUUUAAAUCAGGGUCUUCUCUGUCACCCAGGCCAGAGUGCAGUGGCAAGAUCUCGGCUCACUGCAACCUCUGCCUCCUGGGCUCAAGCCAUCCUCCCACCUCAGCCUCCCAAGUAGAUGGGACUACAGGCACAUGCCACCACGCACAACUAAUUUGUGUAUUUUUUGUAGAGGUGGGGUUUCGCCAUGUUGUCCAGGCUGGUCUCAAACUCCUGAGCUCAAGCUAUCAGCCUGCCUCGACCUCCCAAAGUGUUGGGAUUACAGGUGUGAGCUACUGCAACCGGCCAUGAAGGGAAAUUUUGUGGAAAAGUGAGUGAGUCUAGAAAGUUGGAAUGGAAUCCCAAAGUACUGCCAGCCUUCCUUUUAUGAUCCAUUUAUAGCUAUGAAUCAUAUAUUUAACCUAAACCUUCUUGUCCCUAUUUGUAUUUUCUUUUUUGAGACAGGAUCUCACUCUGUCACCCAGGCUUCAGUGCAGUGGCACAGUCACAGCUCAUUGCAGCCUCAACUUUCUGGACUCAAAGCGAUCCUCCCACAUCAGCCUCUUGAGUAGCAUGUGCCACCAUGCCUGAUUGACUUUUUUUUUUUUUGAGACAGAGCCUUGCUCUGUCACUCAUGCUGGAGUGCAAUGGCGAUAUCUUGUCUCACUGCAACCCCUGCCUCCCAGGUUCAAGCAGUUCUGCGUCAGCCCCCCAAGUAGCUGGGAUUACAGGCACCCGCCACCACGCCUGGCUAAUUUUUUGUAUUUUUUAGUAGAGACAGGGUUUCACCGUGUUAGCCAGGAUGAUGUCGAUCUCCUGACCUCUUGAUCCACCCGCCUUGGCCUCCCAAAGUGCUGGGAUUACAUGCAUGAGCCACCACGCCCAUCCCAUAUUUUAAUCCUAUGCCCCAAAGACUACAUUUCCUGAUUUUACUGUCCACUAAAUAAAACACAUUUUUAUAUGUUACUUUUUUUUUUUUUUUUUGGAGAUGGAGUUUCACUCGUGUUGCCCAGGCUGGAGCGCAAUGGUGCGAUCUUGGCUCACUGCAACCUCCAGCUCCCGGGUUCCAACAAUUCUCCUGACUCAGCCUCCCAAGUAGCUGGGAUUACAGGCAUAUGCCACCGUGCCUGGCUAAUUUUCUAUUUUUAGUAGAGAUGGAGUUUCACCAUUUUGAUCAGGCUGGUCUCAAACUCCUGACCUCAGGUCAUCCACCCACCUUGGCCUCCCAUAGUGCUGGGAUUACAGGCAUGAGCCACCACACCUGACCAUUUUUAUAUAUUUCAUACUCUAAAGCAUGUUGCUGAAUUUUAAUUAUAGAUAUGGUGUAUACAUCUGUUUACCCUUUCUUUUUAUUUUUUAGAUUUUUAUUAACAUUCUCUCUAAGACUUUGUAUUUCCAGAUAGAGAUGUGCUUUUUAAUGAAAAGUUUCUCUUUAUACCAUGUUUAUUUCAGUUGUGUUUAUUUGUAUAUUUUCCUACAGUUUACACCUUGUUUCUUAAUUCAAAAUAUCCUACUGUAAUGCUUUUUUCUUAUUUUUUCCUGAUUUUUAAUUUCUGUACCAAAAUUGGUCUUCAUUUACUUUCUUUUUUAGCCUAUUUCUGUUCUCAUAAAUAGGAGAAAAGUCAAAUUCUACAUUAUCCAUGGCAAGGAAAAACCAUCUUUUAACCUCAGCAUGGGGAACAGAGAGGCGUGUUGGACACCAUGACUUUCCGUUUCUGUUGGCUGCGCCUGGUCACUGCUAUGGCAGAAUAAAGCCUGGAGAGAGACAUAGCCUUUCAACUUAUGCUUGUCUGAUCUUUACCUGGUUUUACAGAAAAGCACAGUAGUGAGGUUAUUUUGAUUUAGAGCUGUUCCCCAUCUGAUGCCAGGAUCCCUUCAACAGUGGUGGAGGAGGUUUAGACGCAGUGUUGAGUUUGAUUCCCUCUGUCUUUUCUCGUAGUUUGGCCUGUCACUGCUCCUCAUCCUCCUGAGCCGUGGUGAAGACCUACAGAGUUCAGACCCUGCUACAGAAUCAACACAAAAUAAUCAGUGGACGGAGGUGAUGUUCAUGGCAACACGAGAACUUCUACGGAUUCCCCAAGCAGCCCUGGCCAAGCCAGUCUCUAUACCUACAAACCUAGUGUCCCUCUUUUCUCGCUAUGUUGACCGGCAGAAACUGAACUUGCUGGAGACAAAACUGCAGCUAGUUCAGGGGAUACGAUAAAAGAUCUCCAAAUGUGUCCUGUACCUCCUUUUGGCUGCCACCUGCACUGCUGCCAUCACCAAUGGAGUGUUUUUAAUGAGGGAGGGAAGGUAGCUUUUUCCCCAAAUCGAUUCCUGUUUACAGGGGUUGUCUCUCUAAAUGUCAGAUAUUUCCCCACUGCUCUAUGAAAUUUGGCUGGGUGAUACUUCUGCUGGUUUCUUUACCUUCUGUGUUACAGUUCUGCAUGUCCUACUUUUACUCAGUUCUGUUUUGCAUUUUCUUUGCCCUAGAGACACAAGUGUAAUCUCUCCCUUUAUCCCUCCACUACUCCACCUCAGAGUAGAUUGUAGCCUGCCAAAGGAUUCCUUCCCUCAUCCUAUUGAAGUUGUUUUUUCAUUGCCCCAUAUUAAUAUGACUAUAGAAGAGCCAAUUAAGUAGAAAUCAAGAUAUACACACACACAUAGAUACACACACACACACACACACACACACACCCCAUACAUGUAUUUAUGUGGUCUUCAGAGGGUCCUUAAAGAAUGAAUUUUAGAUUGAAAAAUAUUUAGUUGUCUCAUUACCUCUUCUAAACACAAACCAGCUGAUGUAUUUUAAUCUGUUUCUGUUCUAUCUUGUAAUUAAUUUGGUGGGUUCUACUUGUUUUAACAUAAAUAAAGAGUAUGCAGCACGUUUAAUAAAA